Molecule: long non-coding RNA, 238 nt
Filed under: Malus domestica (apple)
Lineage: Eukaryota; Viridiplantae; Streptophyta; Magnoliopsida; Rosales; Rosaceae
Description: long non-coding RNA (MDOM_LNC012253)
Source: RNAcentral
AUCAAACCGUCAAACUUGUUUGUAUAUGCUUCGAGAUCGCAUAUGCCAAAAAUCACAAAAAACAAACAUUCAGAGAUCAAGUAAUGAGACAAAACUUUUCGACGGUUAUAAAACAAAAAAUCACGAUUUAACGGUUAUUUUAACUUCGAUUUUGAUGAUUUUUUACAACUACACUUGUUGACCCUAUACGAAUACAAUGAAUGAAUUCGAUCGUCAAUUUAAAAUAUUUACACAAGUG